This 422-nucleotide ribosomal RNA is filed under the name uncultured bacterium. RNAcentral describes it as "bacterial SSU rRNA". It matches the Rfam family "Bacterial small subunit ribosomal RNA", at positions 355 to 774 of the family's 1533-position model. The record is from RNAcentral.
UGAGGAAUAUUGGUCAAUGGCCGAGAGGCUGAACCAGCCAAGUCGCGUGAGGGAUGAAGGUUCUAUGGAUCGUAAACCUCUUUUAUAAGGGAAUAAAGUGCGGGACGUGUCCCGUUUUGUAUGUACCUUAUGAAUAAGGAUCGGCUAACUCCGUGCCAGCAGCCGCGGUAAUACGGAGGAUCCGAGCGUUAUCCGGAUUUAUUGGGUUUAAAGGGUGCGUAGGCGGCCUUUUAAGUCAGCGGUGAAAGUCUGUGGCUCAACCAUAGAAUUGCCGUUGAAACUGGGGGGCUUGAGUAUGUUUGAGGCAGGCGGAAUGCGUGGUGUAGCGGUGAAAUGCAUAGAUAUCACGCAGAACCCCGAUUGCGAAGGCAGCCUGCCAAGCCAUUACUGACGCUGAUGCACGAAAGCGUGGGGAUCAAACA